CAAGUGAAGAAGCGCAUACGGUGGAUGCCUUGGCAGUCAGAGGCGAUGAAAGACGUGGUAGCCUGCGAAAAGCUUCGGGGAGUCGGCAAACAGACUUUGAUCCGGAGAUCUCUGAAUGGGGGAACCCACCUAGGAUAACCUAGGUAUCUUGUACUGAAUCCAUAGGUGCAAGAGGCGAACCAGGGGAACUGAAACAUCUAAGUACCCUGAGGAAAAGAAAUCAACCGAGAUUCCCUUAGUAGUGGCGAGCGAACGGGGAUUAGCCCUUAAGCUUCAUUGAUUUUAGCGGAACGCUCUGGAAAGUGCGGCCAUAGUGGGUGAUAGCCCCGUACGCGAAAGGAUCUUUGAAGUGAAAUCGAGUAGGACGGAGCACGAGAAACUUUGUCUGAACAUGGGGGACCAUCCUCCAAGGCUAAAUACUACUGACUGACCGAUAGUGAACCAGUACCGUGAGGGAAAGGCGAAAAGAACCCCGGAGAGGGGAGUGAAAUAGAACCUGAAACCGUAUGCGUACAAGCAGUGGGAGCCUACUUGUUAGGUGACUGCGUACCUUUUGUAUAAUGGGUCAGCGACUUAUAUUCAGUGGCAAGCUUAACCGUAUAGGGUAGGCGUAGCGAAAGCGAGUCUUAAUAGGGCGUUUAGUCGCUGGGUAUAGACCCGAAACCGGGCGAUCUAUCCAUGAGCAGGUUGAAGGUUAGGUAACACUGACUGGAGGACCGAACCCACUCCCGUUGAAAAGGUAGGGGAUGACUUGUGGAUCGGAGUGAAAGGCUAAUCAAGCUCGGAGAUAGCUGGUUCUCCUCGAAAGCUAUUUAGGUAGCGCCUCAUGUAUCACUCUGGGGGGUAGAGCACUGUUUCGGCUAGGGGGUCAUCCCGACUUACCAAACCGAUGCAAACUCCGAAUACCCAGAAGUGCCGAGCAUGGGAGACACACGGCGGGUGCUAACGUCCGUCGUGAAAAGGGAAACAACCCAGACCGCCAGCUAAGGUCCCAAAGUUGUGGUUAAGUGGUAAACGAUGUGGGAAGGCUUAGACAGCUAGGAGGUUGGCUUAGAAGCAGCCAUCCUUUAAAGAAAGCGUAAUAGCUCACUAGUCGAGUCGGCCUGCGCGGAAGAUGUAACGGGGCUCAAACCACACACCGAAGCUGCGGGUGUCACGUAAGUGACGCGGUAGAGGAGCGUUCUGUAAGCCUGUGAAGGUGAGUUGAGAAGCUUGCUGGAGGUAUCAGAAGUGCGAAUGCUGACAUGAGUAACGACAAUGGGUGUGAAAAACACCCACGCCGAAAGACCAAGGGUUCCUGCGCAACGUUAAUCGACGCAGGGUUAGUCGGUUCCUAAGGCGAGGCUGAAAAGCGUAGUCGAUGGGAAACAGGUUAAUAUUCCUGUACUUCUGGUUACUGCGAUGGAGGGACGGAGAAGGCUAGGCCAGCUUGGCGUUGGUUGUCCAAGUUUAAGGUGGUAGGCUGAAAUCUUAGGUAAAUCCGGGGUUUCAAGGCCGAGAGCUGAUGACGAGUCGUCUUUUAGAUGACGAAGUGGUUGAUGCCAUGCUUCCAAGAAAAGCUUCUAAGCUUCAGGUAACCAGGAACCGUACCCCAAACCGACACAGGUGGUCGGGUAGAGAAUACCAAGGCGCUUGAGAGAACUCGGGUGAAGGAACUAGGCAAAAUGGCACCGUAACUUCGGGAGAAGGUGCGCCGGCUAGGGUGAAGGAUUUACUCCGUAAGCUCUGGCUGGUCGAAGAUACCAGGCCGCUGCGACUGUUUAUUAAAAACACAGCACUCUGCAAACACGAAAGUGGACGUAUAGGGUGUGACGCCUGCCCGGUGCCGGAAGGUUAAUUGAUGGGGUUAGCGCAAGCGAAGCUCUUGAUCGAAGCCCCGGUAAACGGCGGCCGUAACUAUAACGGUCCUAAGGUAGCGAAAUUCCUUGUCGGGUAAGUUCCGACCUGCACGAAUGGCGUAACGAUGGCGGCGCUGUCUCCACCCGAGACUCAGUGAAAUUGAAAUCGCUGUGAAGAUGCAGUGUAUCCGCGGCUAGACGGAAAGACCCCGUGAACCUUUACUGUAGCUUUGCACUGGACUUUGAGCCUGCUUGUGUAGGAUAGGUGGGAGGCUUUGAAGCGUGGACGCCAGUUCGCGUGGAGCCAUCCUUGAAAUACCACCCUGGCAUGCUUGAGGUUCUAACUCUGGUCCGUAAUCCGGAUCGAGGACAGUGUAUGGUGGGCAGUUUGACUGGGGCGGUCUCCUCCUAAAGAGUAACGGAGGAGUACGAAGGUGCGCUCAGACCGGUCGGAAAUCGGUCGCAGAGUAUAAAGGCAAAAGCGCGCUUGACUGCGAGACAGACACGUCGAGCAGGUACGAAAGUAGGUCUUAGUGAUCCGGUGGUUCUGUAUGGAAGGGCCAUCGCUCAACGGAUAAAAGGUACUCCGGGGAUAACAGGCUGAUACCGCCCAAGAGUUCAUAUCGACGGCGGUGUUUGGCACCUCGAUGUCGGCUCAUCACAUCCUGGGGCUGAAGCCGGUCCCAAGGGUAUGGCUGUUCGCCAUUUAAAGUGGUACGCGAGCUGGGUUUAGAACGUCGUGAGACAGUUCGGUCCCUAUCUGCCGUGGACGUUUGAGAUUUGAGAGGGGCUGCUCCUAGUACGAGAGGACCGGAGUGGACGAACCUCUGGUGUUCCGGUUGUCACGCCAGUGGCAUUGCCGGGUAGCUAUGUUCGGAAAAGAUAACCGCUGAAAGCAUCUAAGCGGGAAACUUGCCUCAAGAUGAGAUCUCACUGGGAACUUGAUUCCCCUGAAGGGCCGUCGAAGACUACGACGUUGAUAGGCUGGGUGUGUAAGCGUUGUGAGGCGUUGAGCUAACCAGUACUAAUUGCCCGUGAGGCUUGACCA
RNAcentral lists this ribosomal RNA (2886 nucleotides) under Pseudomonas aeruginosa. RNAcentral's name for it is "bacterial LSU rRNA". It matches the Rfam family "Bacterial large subunit ribosomal RNA". Lineage: Bacteria; Pseudomonadati; Pseudomonadota; Gammaproteobacteria; Pseudomonadales; Pseudomonadaceae. The record is from RNAcentral.